RNAcentral lists this ribosomal RNA (453 nucleotides) under uncultured bacterium. RNAcentral's name for it is "bacterial SSU rRNA". It matches the Rfam family "Bacterial small subunit ribosomal RNA", at positions 340 to 786 of the family's 1533-position model. The record is from RNAcentral.
UACGGGAGGCAGCAGUGGGGAAUAUUGCACAAUGGGCGCAAGCCUGAUGCAGCCAUGCCGCGUGUAUGAAGAAGGCCUUCGGGUUGUAAAGUACUUUCAGUCGUGAGGAAGGUGUUAAGGUUAAUAACCUUAGCAAUUGACGUUAGCGACAGAAGAAGCACCGGCUAACUCCGUGCCAGCAGCCGCGGUAAUACGGAGGGUGCGAGCGUUAAUCGGAAUUACUGGGCGUAAAGGGCACGCAGGCGGUUAAUUAAGUUGGAUGUGAAAUCCCCGGGCUUAACCUGGGAAUGGCAUUCAAGACUGGUUAGCUAGAGUCUUGUAGAGGGGGUAGAAUUCCAUGUGUAGCGGUGAAAUGCGUAGAGAUGUGGAGGAAUACCGGGUGGCGAAGGCGGCCCCUGGACAAAGACUGACGCUCAUGUGCGAAAGCGUGGGGAGCAAACAGGAUUAGAUACC